ACUGUAAGCGUGUUUAUUAAAUGCCCUAGUGAACGAUUAUCGUAAUACCGUUAGUCGACAUACUGUAACGCUGUUUUACAGAUAUUAGUUAAAAGUACAGAAUUCGCGUGUUAUUCCAAUCCACUUGGAAUUUCCGAUCCAAAGCACCUUUGCGGUGUGGAAUUAGUGUUAUUAGUAAAAUUUCCAUAGCUUCUCGCGUUGACAUGACAACUUCUAUCUGAAUUUGCCUUCCUCAAAAAUAAUUACGAAGCAUAAAAAAAGCAAAACGUCCUUAGCUAAAGAGAACAGAUUCGGCGGCUUAUAUAAAUAACUCGUUUAGAUAUGUGACCCCCUGAUAAUAGAAUCUCGACAUGUGAUCCUUGAAGGAAAUAACUGCAAAGUGAUCUGUGAUGGCGCAACCCAAUUUUAGGUUUCUGCAUCAAGUGUAGUUGAAAUCCUUCUCACAAUGAAGAUCAAGUUCGUACUUCUGAUUGCUAUGGUGAUUUUGUACGUCGUUGGAGACGACCACUUCAUCCACACAGAUCACCACAGAAGACGUAAACAUCGGGUGGCGAGCGGAAAAAGAG
Molecule: long non-coding RNA, 566 nt
Organism: Photinus pyralis (common eastern firefly)
Lineage: Eukaryota; Metazoa; Arthropoda; Insecta; Coleoptera; Lampyridae
Exons: 3
Source: RefSeq, a predicted model, not a curated record